UAGCUAGUUGGUAGGGUAAAGGCCUACCAAGGCGACGAUCGGUAGCUGGUCUGAGAGGAUGGCCAGCCACACUGGAACUGAGACACGGUCCAGACUCCUACGGGAGGCAGCAGUGGGGAAUAUUGGACAAUGGGGGCAACCCUGAUCCAGCAAUGCCGCGUGUGUGAAGAAGGCCUGAGGGUUGUAAAGCACUUUCAGUGGGGAGGAGGAUGCAUAGGUUAAGAGCUAAUGUAUUGGACGUUACCCUCAGAAGAAGCACCGGCUAACUCCGUGCCAGCAGCCGCGGUAAUACGGAGGGUGCGAGCGUUAAUCGGAAUUACUGGGCGUAAAGGGUGCGUAGGUGGUUGUAUAAGUUAUCUGUGAAAUCCCCGGGCUCAACCUGGGCAGGUCAGAUAAGACUGUAUGACUCGAGUAUAGGAGAGGGUAGUGGAAUUUCCGGUGUAGCGGUGAAAUGCGUAGAGAUCGGAAGGAACACCAGUGGCGAAGGCGGCUACCUGGCCAGAUACUGACACUGAGGCACGAAAGCGUGGGGAGCAAACAGGAUUAGAUACCCUGGUAGUCCACGCUGUAAACGAUGUCAACUAGUUGUUGGCCUUAUAAAUGAGGUUAGUGACGA
Molecule: ribosomal RNA, 616 nt
Filed under: uncultured Legionella sp.
Lineage: Bacteria; Pseudomonadati; Pseudomonadota; Gammaproteobacteria; Legionellales; Legionellaceae
Description: bacterial SSU rRNA
Rfam family: Bacterial small subunit ribosomal RNA
Source: RNAcentral